This 493-nucleotide ribosomal RNA is filed under the name uncultured bacterium. RNAcentral describes it as "partial 16S ribosomal RNA". It matches the Rfam family "Bacterial small subunit ribosomal RNA", at positions 30 to 523 of the family's 1533-position model. The record is from RNAcentral.
AUUGAACGCUGGCGGCAUGCCUUACACAUGCAAGUCGAACGGUAACAGGUUAAGCUGACGAGUGGCGAACGGGUGAGUAAUACAUCGGAACGUGCCCAGACGUGGGGGAUAACGUAGCGAAAGCUACGCUAAUACCGCAUACGAACUGAGGUUGAAAGCGGGGGACCGUAAGGCCUCGCGCGUUUGGAGCGGCCGAUGGCAGAUUAGGUAGUUGGUGGGGUAAAGGCUUACCAAGCCUGCGAUCUGUAGCUGGUCUGAGAGGACGACCAGCCACACUGGGACUGAGACACGGCCCAGACUCCUACGGGAGGCAGCAGUGGGGAAUUUUGGACAAUGGGCGCAAGCCUGAUCCAGCAAUGCCGCGUGCAGGAUGAAGGCCUUCGGGUUGUAAACUGCUUUUGUACGGAGCGAAACGGCUUCCACUAAUACUGGGGGCUAAUGACGGUACCGUAAGAAUAAGCACCGGCUAACUACGUGCCAGCAGCCGCCGUAA